Molecule: ribosomal RNA, 512 nt
Filed under: uncultured bacterium
Lineage: Bacteria
Description: partial 16S ribosomal RNA
Rfam family: Bacterial small subunit ribosomal RNA
Source: RNAcentral
GAUGAACGCUGGCGGCGUGCCUAACACAUGCAAGUCGAACGAAAGUAAUUGAAAGCUUGCUUUUAGGUACUUUAGUGGCGGACGGGUGAAUAACGCGUAGGUGACUUGCCUCUUACAGGAGGGCAACCGAUGGACACGACUGCUAAUACCGCAAAACAUCAGACUAAGGCAUCUUGAUAUGGUCAAAGGAGAAAUCUGGUAAGAGAUAGAUCUGUGUCUGAAUAGCUAGUUGGUAAGGUAAAGGCUUACCAAGGCGACGAUCUGUAGCGGGUCUGAGAGGAAGAUCCGCCAAACUGGGACUGAGACACGGCCCAGACUCCUACGGGAGGCAGCAGUGGGGAAUAUUGGACAAUGGGGGGAACCCUGAUCCAGCCAUGCCGCGUGUGUGAAGAAGGCCUUAUGGUUGUAAAGCACUUUAAGCGAGGAGGAGGCUCUUUUGGUUAAUACCCAAGAUGAGUGGACGUUACUCGCAGAAUAAGCACCGGCUAACUCUGUGCCAGCGGCCGCCGUAA